This 440-nucleotide ribosomal RNA is filed under the name uncultured bacterium. RNAcentral's name for it is "partial 16S ribosomal RNA". It matches the Rfam family "Bacterial small subunit ribosomal RNA", at positions 338 to 795 of the family's 1533-position model. The record is from RNAcentral.
CCUACGGGUGGCAGCAGUAGGGAAUAUUGCUCAAUGGGGGAAACCCUGAAGCAGCAACGCCGCGUGGAGGAUGAAGGUUUUCGGAUUGUAAACUCCUUUUGUUAGAGAAGAUAAUGACGGUAUCUAACGAAUAAGCACCGGCUAACUCCGUGCCAGCAGCCGCGGUAAUACGGAGGGUGCAAGCGUUACUCGGAACCACUGGGCGUAAGGAGCGCGUAGGCGGGAUAGAAAGUCAGAUGUGAAAUCCUAUGGCUUAACCAUAGAACUGCAUUUGAAACUGUUAUUCUAGAGUAUGGGAGAGGUAGGUGGAAUUCUUGGUGUAGGGGUAAAAUCCGUAGAGAUCAAGAGGAAUACUCAUUGCGAAGGCGACCAGCUAGAACAUAACUGACGCUGAUGCGCGAAAGCGUGGGGAGCAAACAGGAUUAGAUACCCCUGUAGUC